Molecule: ribosomal RNA, 301 nt
Filed under: uncultured bacterium
Lineage: Bacteria
Description: partial 16S ribosomal RNA
Rfam family: Bacterial small subunit ribosomal RNA
Source: RNAcentral
CAGUCGCCGCGGGAAUACGAAGGGUGCAAGCGUUACUCGGAAUUACUGGGCGUAAAGCGUGCGUAGGUGGUGGUUUAAGUCCGUUGUGAAAGCCCUGGGCUCAACCUGGGAAUUGCAGUGGAUACUGGGUCACUAGAGUGUGGUAGAGGAUAGUGGAAUUUCCGGUGUAGCAGUGAAAUGCGUAGAGAUCGGAAGGAACAUCUGUGGCGAAGGCGACUAUCUGGGCCAACACUGACACUGAGGCACGAAAGCGUGGGGAGCAAACAGGAUUAGAUACCCCGGUAGUCCCUGUCUCUUAUAC